GAACGCUGGCGGCAGGCCUAACACAUGCAAGUCGAACGGUAACAGGAAGAGCUUGCUUCUUUGCUGACGAGUGGCGGACGGGUGAGUAAUGUCUGGGAAACUGCCUGAUGGAGGGGGAUAACUACUGGAAACGGUAGCUAAUACCGCAUAACGUCGCAAGACCAAAGAGGGGGACCUUCGGGCCUCUUGCCAUCGGAUGUGCCCAGAUGGGAUUAGCUGUAGGUGGGGUAACGGCUCACCUAGGCGACGAUCCCUAGCUGGUCUGAGAGGAUGACCAGCCACACUGGAACUGAGACACGGUCCAGACUCCUACGGGAGGCAGCAGUGGGGAAUAUUGCACAAUGGGCGCAAGCCUGAUGCAGCCAUGCCGCGUGUAUGAAGAAGGCCUUCGGGUUGUAAAGUACUUUCAGCGGGGAGGAAGGGAGUAAAGUUAAUACCUUUGCUCAUUGACGUUACCCGCAGAAGAAGCACCGGCUAACUCCGUGCCAGCAGCCGCGGUAAUACGGAGGGUGCAAGCGUUAAUCGGAAUUACUGGGCGUAAAGCGCACGCAGGCGGUUUGUUAAGUCAGAUGUGAAAUCCCCGGGCUCAACCUGGGAACUGCAUCUGAUACUGGCAAGCUUGAGUCUCGUAGAGGGGGGUAGAAUUCCAGGUGUAGCGGUGAAAUGCGUAGAGAUCUGGAGGAAUACCCGGUGGCGAAGGCGGCCCCCUGACGAAGACU
RNAcentral lists this ribosomal RNA (719 nucleotides) under Escherichia sp. RNAcentral's name for it is "bacterial SSU rRNA". It matches the Rfam family "Bacterial small subunit ribosomal RNA", at positions 31 to 741 of the family's 1533-position model. Lineage: Bacteria; Pseudomonadati; Pseudomonadota; Gammaproteobacteria; Enterobacterales; Enterobacteriaceae. The record is from RNAcentral.